Molecule: ribosomal RNA, 252 nt
Filed under: uncultured bacterium
Lineage: Bacteria
Description: partial 16S ribosomal RNA
Rfam family: Bacterial small subunit ribosomal RNA
Source: RNAcentral
UACGGAAGAUGCGAGCGUUAUCCGGAUUUAUUGGGUUUAAAGGGUGCGUAGGCGGACUGUCAAGUCAGCGGUAAAAUUGAGAGGCUCAACCUCUUCCCGCCGUUGAAACUGGUGGUCUUGAGUGGAUGAGAAGUACGCGGAAUGCGUGGUGUAGCGGUGAAAUGCAUAGAUAUCACGCAGAACUCCGAUUGCGAAGGCAGCGUACCGGCAUCCAACUGACGCUGAGGCACGAAAGCGUGGGGAUCAAACAGG